Long non-coding RNA from Arvicola amphibius (Eurasian water vole), 743 nucleotides. RefSeq lists it as uncharacterized. NCBI's taxonomy places the organism in Eukaryota, Metazoa, Chordata, Mammalia, Rodentia, Cricetidae. The record is from RefSeq and is a predicted model, not a curated record. The transcript is spliced from 2 exons.
CCCAGCACCAUAGGGCAUUUAAGCGAAGCGAAGUGGGCCCAGAAUGCCAUUCUUAAUGUGGGAAGAACACACUAUCUAAUGUGCCCAGAAAACAAACAAGGAAGGGCUUGAGUGUUUAGCUGGAGAAAUAGCCUCGCUACCAGUCAGACUCUCCGGCCCCACUUCUUCAUCAACAUCACCUUCAGCACGACAGACACCUGCUCUGGGAGAGCCUCGCAAUUUUUCAGAACCAACAAUGUUUGCAAACCAUCAGGGUUCCAGCGAAGAAAUAGAAGAAUUCUGUGGAUUUCAUUGCCCAACCAUCCGUUAACCUCUACCUUUCCACGCCGGCCAAGAAAACUGCCUCGGUAGCCUUGACUGUACUGCCAUACCGCAACCACCCAAAUUAGCUUUCUCUUCGGAGAGCGGGGCCACAGCUGCACAAACCCUGACAUUUAGAGCGGCGGGGAGAAACUCCCAGCAGUGAUUUCUUCUGAAGAAUUUGAGGAACUAAGCAUAUUUAUUUAAAAUACCAAUUAUUCCAGAUAGACCUUGUCACUAACAGGAAAGAUAUUUCAGUUUAAAAAUAUAUAUGUGUGCGUUUAACUAUGUAUUUAUCUAAGUACAUAUUUAUUUCAUUGACGUCACUCAUUUGUAGAUCAUGUUUUUACAAAAGGAAAAAAAGAUUUGUUUAAUAAGGUUUUUUUUUUCUUUCAAUAUUAUCAUCCCAUCCAUUGUUGCAACAUAAAGAUGUGGUUGAAGAA